This 67-nucleotide transfer RNA is filed under the name Tangara mexicana. RNAcentral's name for it is "tRNA-Cys". The record is from RNAcentral. Lineage: Eukaryota; Metazoa; Chordata; Aves; Passeriformes; Thraupidae.
CUUCGGCACACGCUCAGUGCGCAUCAAUGAGUUUGCAACUCACUAUGAACUUCACUACAAAGCCGAU